GCGGGGUUAGCUCAGCUGGGAGAGCGUCAGACUGAAGUUCGACUUUAGGAUCAUAUAAUCUGAAGGCCGUGCGUUCGAUCCGCACACACCGCA
Molecule: transfer RNA, 93 nt
Filed under: Rostrohypoxylon terebratum
Lineage: Eukaryota; Fungi; Ascomycota; Sordariomycetes; Xylariales; Hypoxylaceae
Description: tRNA-Phe
Rfam family: tRNA
About the family: Transfer RNA (tRNA) molecules are approximately 80 nucleotides in length.
Source: RNAcentral